This 253-nucleotide ribosomal RNA is filed under the name uncultured bacterium. RNAcentral's name for it is "partial 16S ribosomal RNA". It matches the Rfam family "Bacterial small subunit ribosomal RNA", at positions 524 to 776 of the family's 1533-position model. The record is from RNAcentral.
GACAGAGGGUGCAAACGUUGUUCGGAAUUACUGGGCGUAAAGCGCGUGUAGGCGGCUAUGCAAGUCGGAUGUGAAAGCCCUCGACUCAACCGGGGAAGUGCACCCGAAACUGCAAAGCUAGAGUCUCGGAGAGGAUCGUGGAAUUCUCGGUGUAGAGGUGAAAUUCGUAGAUAUCGAGAGGAACACCGGUGGCGAAGGCGACGAUCUGGACGAUGACUGACGCUGAGACGCGAAAGCGUGGGAAGCAAACAGG